AAGGCUCUGAUACCAACUUGUAACACCGAAAAUUUCAAACAAUUUUUCAUUUAAAAAUAAUCGUUUAAUUCUUAGAAACACUUGUUUAAAAUCUCAUUCAUAAUCGAAUUACAAAACAUGACUCCAUUUUCACUUGUAUAGAAAACCAGGAUCCUCAAAACAUGACUCUUUCUCUGGUGUGUACAAUCAAGCCGGUGUCGUCCCGUGGUCCUGAAAGAAACCUGAAACACAUACUUAAAACAAAACACUAUAAGCACGAAGCUUAGUGAGUUGCCCCAAAAUAUCACACACAACACAUAUUAGCCACACGAGGCUAUAACUCUGUGGGUCCGUGGACCCUGCUUUGUGAACCCUCUGGUUCUAACUCUGUGAACCUUCCGGUUCUAACUCUAGGAACCCUCCGGUUCCAACUCUGAAAACAUGCACAGCAUAAAUCACAUAGAAAUAAUGCAGUACAACACAUAACAUACAUAGCAUACAAAUACUCUGUCACAUAACUCUGGUUACCUACUCAAGGUAAAGUAUAGUGAGAAGACUCACCUGGCAAGCAGAAAGCAGAUAUCCCCACACUUGAAUCUCGAACUCGCCACCGCCUAACACGUAAGGCAAAUACUCUCAUGAAUAUAACUCUCGAGACUAGAAUCAACCCUCUCAUGGCACCCUCUUAAGGGUAAAAGACUAUUUUACCCCUCUCUUGGCCCAAAGGCCACAUCGCUGACCAACCCCUAAAAGUCAACGGUCAACUCUUGGUCAAAGUCAAAGUCCUCAGUCAAAGUCAACCCUCCUGGUUGACCCUGCUCGCCGAGUCAACCCGUCGACUCGUCGAGUCCCCAUGCUCAGAACUUCCCCAAUCCGCGACUCAACUCACCGAGUCACCCCGAGACUCGCCGAGUCCCACAACUCUGAGUCCACUCGCACACAACUCACCGAGUCAUCCCUUGACUCGCCGAUUCUCGACUCAACCAGAAAAUAUUGGGACUCUUCGACAAGACUCGCCGAGUCCAACAGCAGACUCGCCGAGUCUAAGGCUAUCUUCAACCUACUCGCCGAGUUGUUCAUACAACUCGCCGAGUUCCAGGCCAUCUUCAUCCAACUCGCCGAGUUGUUCUUCCAACUCGUCGAGUUCCAGCUCAUCUUCAAGCAACUCGUCGAGUCCACCCAUGUGACUCGCCGAGUACCACCGGUCUGAACCCAUACAGAAGCAUUCCAGGCCAUGCAAUUGCUCCAAAACAUAGAUCUAGCCUCCUACAACUCAUCCAUCACGUAAAGUGGCAAACUUUACGUGAAUCCAAAGAGAUCUAUGCAUUUUCACUCUAGGGUUUGGGUUUGGGACAAAAUAGCUCCAUCAACCACUCACAAACAGGGACUUUCAUGCAUUCCAACCCUUCUCCAUUCCAGAUCUGAGGUAGCAACCUCAGAUCUAACCUCUAAACUCCAAUACAUCCAAGGAUAUGAUCUCUAACACCCCCAAAACGAUGCAUCUAAGAAAUAGCAGCUCAAAAACGAGAUAUUACCUCAAAGGAACGCCCCAACUGCAAUGAAACUCGAAUCCAAGCAAAGCCCCUUUGCUCCAAGCCUCUUACCCUUCAUGAUUUCCUCAACAUUUGCUUCUCCAAGCUUCCAAAUGCACUUGAUCCGCUCACACACAAGGGUUAGGGUUUCAGGACUUGAGGAUUAGUAAGGAGGCUGGGGGAAUGGAUGUUAUGUUCUUUAUAUAGGGCUCAACCCCGAGAAUUAGGGUUUUCUCCACUCAGCGCCUACUCGCCGAGUCCAUUACUCUGACUCGCCGAGUCGGCCACUUAACACGCGACCAAGUCGCGACUCUACUCGCCGAGUCCGCACAUGGACUCGCCGAGUCGCUCUUUCCCAAUUUACUCUUUUAUCCCUUCAACUCUACUCUUGAUAUUUCGGGAUGUUACAUAAUUGAAAAGGUUUCAAUGAAUGGCAGAACGAAUAAGAAGAAUCAAAAAGGCAAAAAGAUAAAAGUUUCUCUAUUCUAAGAAGAAGGGAGAAUAACUUUUAUUGUGUUUUAUGAUAGGUCUUAAUGAUUAAGAACCAUUUCUCAAUUGAUCCUCUAAGUGAGUCUUAGUGCAAUUGCAUGUCUAAGAAGAGGAAUCGAGAAAUGUAGAAAUGCUUAAAUCAAGAAGUCAGUCAUACUUCGUUCCAAUAUCAAGUCUUAGAGUCAAGAUUGUGACUCGAGCGAAACGUCUUAAGUAGGUUUAUAACACUCAUCAAAUGUGGAAUUUGGAAAGGUUUUCUAAUUCUUUCUUAUUUGAAAUUGGAAAGUUGUGAUGUCUUGGAUAAGACAAAGACCACCUAGGACCAAUUUUGUGAAGUGUUUUGUCUUGAUAAAAGCUACACCAACUCUUGAAUAUUUGUUUAUUAAGAAAAGUUUCUUGACAAGAGAAUCUUAUAUGUCAAGGAGUAAGUAGGAGCCUUAAUGGUCUUGAAAGGUUUCAAGAACAAAUUCGAGAAUAAACCUAGUUAAUCAUCACUAGCACAUGACUUGAGGUUUACAACCUAUCAUGUUGACAUUAUUUUGUUUAUGUGCCAUUCCAAUUGAGUUAAUUAUAUACGUGAGUUCUAUGUGUUCUCAUUUGAAUGCAUAAAGAUAAAGGGCCUUGAUUGAUGGAAAUUACAUUGAUAUGUAAGGAUAAGUUGCUAAACUACCUGGAAGAGAUAGUGGGCACUCGUGUUACCAUAAGGCUAGAAAUCAAGAAAGUUCAAUCCAUAUGAGUUUGGAUUUGUCGCAAACUUGGUUUUGGCAAAUUCACAUGGAUAGGAACACAUACACCAUAAAAUCUAAGUGUCAUAAGAUUCCCCCCCCCCUUCAUGAAAAUGACUGUGAGGAAAUGCUUUCAAUAAGAGAGAUUUUAAGAAGAUAACAAUUGUGAAAAUUGUAUUAUCAAGUUCGAUUAUGGUUACGACAUCCCUUUCCAUAGUUCAAAUUGUGAGAUUUGGCGUCUAGUCUAACAUUUGGGACUUAUUGAUAUAAGUUCUAAAUUUUUUAGACACACAUAUGAGCUAUCUAAGGAAAAGGUGUAUAAGUUUAAGAAGCUUAGAUAAAGUCUUAUCGAAGCAUCUGGUAUUAGAAAUAGGAACUUCAGAAAUUCAAUAGGCAUUGUUUUCUAGAAGUUCAGCGGUUUUCUGAAUACAUGUCAAAGCUAGUGGGAGCAUAAGUGUUAUGCUUAUACGAUAAUAAUCAUCAUGAUAGUGGGAGCAUAAGUGUUAUGCUUGUAUGGUUGUUAUGGCAAGUAUUGCAAGCUAGCAAUAUUAAUUAUAGAAAAACAAAGAUUCAAUUUGCAAAGUUGUAUGGUUUGAAAAGUUGUUUUGCUAUAAUUAAGGGAGAGAAUAUUAUACUUCGUUUCAAAAUCUAAAGCUUAGAUUGAGAAAUUUUAAUAAAUUUAGUCAAAGGAUACAUAGUGUGUUCUCAAAUUUCGAUUAUGAUUACGACAUCCCUCUUCAUAGUUCGAAUUGUGAGAACGUGACACAUAAAAUAUUAUGGCAAAAGAUUGAUAAAGCAUCAUAUCUUUAUGUAAGACAUUAUGCAUCGUGUCCCAUAUGCUUCGGGUAUAGGAUCGAUUUCAAAUGCUAUAAUAUUUGACCACUCUAAAAUUUUCCAAAUGUCUAGCUCAUUAAGAGGGAAAAAGGACUAGAAUCGGUUUUGACUAAAAUAAUUAAACAACUAUCAAAGGACUAUCCAAAGUUCGCUGAGGAUUGGUCGCUUGUGAGUAGUUGGAAGUAUGGUAUUGGAUGGACCAUAUCGACAUUAUUAUGAAUAGAUAAGAUUCUAUUAAGAAUGAGUUGUCAUAUGGCAAAUAUGGAANGAUAUUGGGAAUUGGAUAUUGAGAGUCGAUGUCUAGAUUAGAAAAUUUUAUGCAAGAAGAAUGUUCAAAGGAAUGUACUUUGAAUGUGAGACUUCAUGUCUAUGGAAUUGUCUUGUAACAAUUUCCGAUAGAGUACUUUGUAAUUUCAUUGGCCAAGUCUUGGUGACUUUUGUGCUAUGAUUUUGCGAAAGGAUCGUUGCAUAAAAUGUUAGAAUCUAGCAUAUUCUAGUAGUGGUAAGGAAUUUGUAUUCUUACACUAAUGAUAUGGAUAAGGAGUUGUGAAAUAAGUAUCAUUGGAAAAGUUUUCAAUUGAUCUAUUUCACAAAGUAUGAACCAUAGGUAAACAUAGUGUGCAUGCUCGAAGCAUGGGACAACUAUUGUUGUAAUUUGAGUAAUAAGUUGAUUUUCUGAAACAGUAAACGAUGACUAAUGAGUAAUCAAUAUGGUGUUUAAACAAAAGUGUCUUAUUUACUCCCACAAGUUUGGGGCCAUGUAGGAUUAAGUAUUAUUGUUGUGUAUGUUUUAGUUUGCAUGUUUUGACUUCCAGAAUAACUGGGUUAUUUNGAAUUUGUAUUCUUACACUAAUGAUAUGGAUAAGGAGUUGUGAAAUAAGUAUCAUUGGAAAAGUUUUCAAUUGAUCUAUUUCACAAAGUAUGAACCAUAGGUAAACAUAGUGUGCAUGCUCGAAGCAUGGGACAACUAUUGUUGUAAUUUGAGUAAUAAGUUGAUUUUCUGAAACAGUAAACGAUGACUAAUGAGUAAUCAAUAUGGUGUUUNUUCAGGUUUGGGACGUAUAUGAGGGACUUUAUGGCCGUCAUUGUUCACCCUAGUCCUCUGAGAGAAACCCUAAUUCGUUUGUGAGCAUCUGGAGCAAGGUAGAAGACCAUUGUUGAUUUUGGAAGUGUUGUUUUUCAAGGAAGAGGAGGCUUGGCUAAGGGAACAACAAGGGAAGCCACGUUCUGAGAAUUGGGGACACAGAGAGCACGUUAUUCAGGUAAUAUUUCGAAUUGCAUCCUCCUAUGAUUGAUGUGUAUAUGGAUUUAGGGUUUAUUGAACCCUUUUGUGGCUAGAUUGAGUGUUACCUUAGUCCCCCAAACGAUUGGAACCCUGUAUUGGGAUCUUUGGAAGUCCAGAAUGUCCCAUGCCUGAGCAUUUCGUGAAUCAAUGGAGGUUUUGGAUUGGAAUCCUUAUGCCUUAGGUCAAAAUGUAAAUUAUGAGUCAUGGGGUGUAUUAUGAGCACCGAAAUGAGGACCUUACGUGAUGAAUCAGUCUAGGAAGGCCAGACCUAUGAAUGGUCGGAGCAGUUCUGACCUUAGAAAGCAGUUUGAGCGGUUGCAUGGCAUGGACUCGCCGAGUCCGAUGAACAGACUCGGCGAGUAGCUUGAAGAUUAACUGGGACUCGUCGAGUUGUUCUUCAGACUCGGCGAGUUGAGUCGGGGUGGCCCCGCGAUUCUUCCAGGAGGAACUCGUCGAGUCAGGGGAGAUACUCGACGAGUAGAAAGGGAAUCUUAGAGAAUUGGUGAGGACGUCUAGACUCGCCGAGUCGCCCUAGCACUCGCCGAGUCCGGUCAAAGUUGACCGUUGACCGUUGACCGUUGACCAGAGUGGACCUGUGUUGACUUCUUAGGGAUAGUCAACAUUAGAGAUAUAAAGUGUUAACUAGGGACAUUAUGAUGUUAUAGGAGGAUUAGAGCUCGGAGAAUCGGGCACGAGGGAUUCCCAGGUUGUGAGAUAUCGAGACACGCGAGGUGAGUCUUCUCACUAUACUUUACCUUGAGUAGGUAACCAGAGUUAUGUGAUAGAGUAUUUGUAUGCUAUGUAUGUUAUGUGUUGCACUGCAUUCUUCUAUGUGAUUUAUGCUAUGCUUGUUUACAGAGUUAGAACCUGAGGGUUCACAGAGUAUGGGUGCACGGACCCACAGAGUUAUAGCCUCGAGUGGCUAAUAUGUGUUAUAUGGUAUUUUGGGGAACUCACUAAGCUUUAUGCUUACAGUGUUCGUGUUAUUUGUUUCAGGUACUAGUGAGAAUCGCGGGAAGGCGCCGGCCUGAUCAGUGCACACACGCAGGAUUUUAUAUUAUGUGAUCUUGGGGAUUUUAUAUGUGUUAUGAAAUGAAUUACCAACAUGAUGUUUUUAUGAAUAUUAAAUGAAGUUGUCUUUAUUAAAUGCGAAAAAUUAUUUUUAAAAUUUCUGGUGUUACAAUACGUUGGAAGUAGGUUCGAAGGAAGACUGUCAUGAAGAGUCUGUAGAUUGUCUAAAGAGUUUAGACAUAGCACAAGUUUGCUGCAGAGUUCAUGAGUGCUUUAAUAAGAUUAGAGUACUGGAUUAAACCCACGCUCACAUGAAUCACUUCAUGGAUUUCAUCACGAGUGACUGUGAGUCGAUAAUAUUGUACAUUCUUGAAACCGAGACGUGUGAGUUGUUAUUUGAUGGUCGGUUGCACAUUGAUGAUAAGUAAACGCACCAGUAACUUGGUGUUAUAAAACUUAUUGUUGUGUGUGAUUCGAUCAGUAAAUGCAAGCGGACAUUUGAGUUGAGGUUUAUCCAUUCCUCUUACCCAAAGUGGGAUAAAAGCGAUAUAUGUGGGCCCCUCGAUGAUUUAGUGAUGACACCUAAGUGCUUGGCCAAGCCGGGACUAAGUUGAUGUGUUCAAUUGUAGUCUGUUGUCAGUCAUCAUAAAUCGGAAGUCGGGAAACAGUACAGAGAGAAUGAUUAAAAUCCAUCUCUUAUGUCUAUACGAUAUCUUGAGAAUGGAGGAAUAUAUGAUCCCUUAUCUAAAGGACACGCAUAUCUGAUAAGAUCAGAGUUGACAACGACUUUUGAAAGCUAUGAUUGCUGAUCAGGUUCUGAAGUUACGCAAAAUAGUUAUUAGACUUAUCCAAGUGGGAGACUGUUGGAUUAGUGUCUAAGUCCAUAACUAUUUUGGUAUGUACUUGACCCGAUUAUGAGCAUGGUCCUUUUGGGUUGUCUUCACCGUAGAAAUAUGUAGGAUGAAUUAAGGAGAGAAAGGUUUAAUUAUGAUUUAUUAAUAUAUUAUAAGAAUGAUAUAUUAAAGGAGAAAUCAUAAUGUUUAAUCAAUAUUAGUCAAGAAUUAAUCAAGAAUUAAUUUUGUGGCUAAAAGAGAUUAAUUAAACUCAAGGGACUAAAAUUGUAAUGAUAAGAUAAUUGCAAUUUGGGCUAUAGAUCACUUUGGAAUAAUAGGUUGGACUAAUUCUAUGGGGAAGCCCAUUAGAAAUCGUCCAAGGCAUGUUCAAGAAGGGGUCCAUGGGCUGCUUAGGGCUUAAGCAGUCAAAUUAGGGUUUCCUGGUUUGAUAACCCUAAUUGCCUAAGUAUAUAAGGAACCCUUGGGNGGCACCAAAAUGUGGCUAACACUUCCUUUAGGGUUUCCAGCCGUUUUUUGUGCCUCCCUUCUCUUCCCUCUUCAUCUAUGGUGCAACACUUGAGGCACUAUGCUUUCUGAAGCCAAGGAUUGAUUGUUAUUGCUAUAUAACAAUGAGAGGUAAGAUCUAAACCCUAUUUUAUGUUAAUAUGAUUAAUUUUAUGCUAGAUCUAGGGUUUAUAGCUUUGGAUAUUCAAUUACAUGUUCAUUAGACAAACUAGAUCCAAAAGCUAUUAGGGUUUUCAUGUACACCAUAGGAUCGAUGUAUUGCUCAAAACCCAUCAGAAAUAUGAGUUGGAUGACGAGUUGAGAGGUGAUAUAGACCAUGAGGUAAGGGUGAGAGGUGGACGAUGUGAGAAUCCUUGUUCCCAAAUGCUGGCCCGUCAUCUAGCAGAGUAUGGAUGACAACCACGGACUAUUCUAGAAAGUCCAGUGGAACACUAGCAGGCUCGCAACCUGUAGGUGUUAUGAACGAUUUGUUCACCCGGUGUACUCUAAACCUUGGCGAUCAUGCAGACUUGAUGCCUAAACCAUAGUGACUAUGCAUACUUAGUGCCUAAACCUUGGCGAUCAUGCAGACUUGAUGCCUAAACCAUAGUGACUAUGCAUACUUAGUGCCUAAACCUUGGCGAUCAUGCAGACUUGAUGCCUAAACCCUGGUGACCAUGCAGACUUAGUGCCUAAUCCCUGGAGACUAUGCAGACUUAGUUCCUAUUGUGUAAACCGUGGCAAUGAUGGACCUCAUGCGGAUUCCUUAGGAUGAUCCUUAGGAAUAAAUGAACGGGGAAUAGCUGAUUCUUAGGGUAGAUCCUUAAGAGUAAAGAGGAUAACGGGGAUGAGUAAUUGGGUUGAUUGUUUCAUGUUUAAAUAGAAUAAUUAUAUUAUUGUGGGUUGAAAACCCUAUGUACUCAGCAGGUUUCCCAACCUGACCCACUCAGUUUAUUUAUAUCACAGGUGUUGAUAUCAAGUCACAUUACACUGAGAGAUUAAGGAGAUCUAAAUCACUAGUGAUAAUGAAUGUAAGUUCUUUUUAUGCUUAUGUUUAUGUAUUGACGAUGACAUCCCAAAUGUUUUAAAAUGAAUAAAAAUACUUUUCUUCGGAAAUGCUUUGAUAAUGUAUUUAUCAUAUUUUACUGGGAAGAAAUUCCGCAACAUUUUUAUUAAAAGAGGUACUCUGAUUUUUAUAAAGUAUAAACAAAAUCGGUCUUUUCUGACUGUGAAAAUGGGGAUGUCACAAAUAAUAAUAAAAUUACUUCUCGGGGUUCCGGGUUUAUCAUUAAAUAUUUUAUAUUAAAAGGGAUGUUACAUAUUGUGGCUAAUUAUUAGUCUAGAUUUGUCAAUAAGUCAAAGUCUACUUCAUGAUCUAUCAAGUAAGGAUCAGCAAGGCAGGACAAUUGGGAGGCUGGUCCAUUUCGGCAUAUAGCUUUUCUGAAAUCCAACAACCAAACCCAACGUGACCAUUCUAGACACAUCUCCCGUAAGUAGUUCAAUCAGUAUAACGACGUUGAAUCACUAAUAAGUUUUAUUUAUAUGUUCAUAAUAAUGAUAUUAUACGCUAUAUUUAAAGUAGGGUAGAAAACUUACAUACCCAGGAGUCAGGCUCUGCAGGGGCAGAACUUCAUCGCUGAAUCUUUCUAAGAAAGAUUCUUGCAGCGCUUCAAUGCUCACCUCACUAUACUAAAAAAUACAGAAAGAAAAAUUCGAAUCAUGAGUGACCGAAAUGCUCGGGGGAUAAAAAGAGAAAUAAUUUUGAAUUAAGAGAAUGGUGCAAGAAAUAUAAGAGAGCAUAGAGGCUCUUAUUUAUAGUAAUUGAAUUUUCAAAACCCACCCUAUAUAUUUACUUAAAUGACUAAACACCCCUUUGUAAUACUAUUUUAAAUAGAUUUAAUGAUAUUUGUACUAAAAUAACGUCGAAAGUACUCAAUAUUAGUCUUAUAACGACCGCAUCGUCGAUACCCUUCAAUGAUAUAUACAUAUGUAUAUAUAUGUAGACGUAUAUAUGAUUUACGCUUUAUUUUAAUACGUAAAUGUGCUAUUACAAAUUAUAACUCGUUCGUACGAACUCCAUUUUUGAUGUUCUUUAUAUACACGCAUUGGUAUUUACGAGUACUACAACUUUCAUUUAGACGCCGUCAGCUAUUUAUCAUUCUAUCUCAGAUCUAUAAAAUUGUAUCGAAUUUAACGCGCUCGAAGAGUAAGGACCAAGUUUCGUCCAAAUCUUUAACAUAUGAGCUCUAUUCUUGACGUUCUUUAUAUCCACGCAUUGUUAUUUUUUAGUACUACAAAUUUCAUUUAGAUUCCAUCGGUAAAUUCUUAUUCUAUCUCGAAUUUACAAAUGUGUAUCGAAUUUGUCGCGCUAGAAGAGUAGGGACUAAGUUUCGUCCAUAUCUUUCGCAUACGAGCUCCGUUUUAGAUUGUCUUUUUGUCGUUGACCUCCUAUUAACGAGAUCGUAAAUUCUCGUUUAGAUUGUUUUGGAUAAAAAUUAACCGAUCUAAAAUUCAAAUUUCGGGUUGUGCACUCCUAUGCUAAAUUUUAGAAAAAUCAUAACUUUCUCAUAUGAAGUCAGAUUUGGACGCUCUUUUUAUACACACUCUCAGUUUAACAUAUAAUACAACUUUAAUAUAGAUCCUUAAGACUAGAAAGUAUUUUAUCGUAAAUUUACUUUUUACGAUUUCCGGUGUCGUGCCGGUUUUACCGUAAAACUUUAACGAGUCAUAAGUCGGAUUUAUAUGUACGGAACCCUUGUGACAUAUACUAUAACUUGGUCAAGAUUAUUUAUUCUAAAUAGUAUUAUAUCAAAAAAAAAUAUUUGUGACGCUUAUUGUCUCUAAAGUGACUAACCUGAAUCUGCGGGUGUCACAAUUAUCUCCCCCAUUGGAUGAUUACGUCUCAUAAUUAUCAACGAAAUAGGGCUUGUAUAAUGACUCCAUACAUUAUCUUUUCAUCCUAGUUAAUAAUUGUAACUCCUAUGUUCCUUCGAAUGAGUAUCUAACUCUUGGACUUCUGUACUUCUGGCGGUGCUCGAUCUUGCACCCGCUCUCUAUCUCACGUUCGAUUUUCAAUCGUGACCUUCAAGUCAUAAUCUCAAUCCUUAUUGGAGACUCCUGCUCCUUCGGAAAUAGUCUUUACUUCGAUUACCGUAACAGACUGAUGGGACAUGCUCUAAUGACAUCUUGUUGUAUGAUGCAAUCCUAAGACUCAGGUCUUUUAGAGUCAAAUUCCAGAAUAGAAUAUACCUUCUUUCAUGUUCUAAUGUUAUAUAAUCACAUUCUAGCAUGUAGCACUUCUAGCUACAAGCUUCUUACCUUAACAACGGUUGUGAUACUUUUAUUGAUCGCUUCGAUUGUCUUUCACUUCAAUCUUCUAAAUUAAGUUGGAUGCUACAUCGAUUUUUGUUCUUUGAACCACGUAAAAUAAUCAUCUUAGUCAGAAUCGAUUUGAUUUAACCACUAGGGUCAGAUUAACAAUCAUCUUCUUAGUCAUUACCGAAACGAUGGUAAUGACAGGCAUGAACAAAACAUAAUCAAUUACAAUUGCAUUGGUAACCUUGUGACUUUCCCUAAUCCAAGCAUGAGUCUUGUGCUUCCGGUAGUAUUGGCCUCUACUACCUUUCGCACCUACUUAUACUCGUCCCAAGUAUUGUCUCGCAGUUCUCCAAGUUAUUAUCACAAAAACAAUUUUAACACAUACAAAUGUGUCCAAACAAUCAUAUAAUUUUCUCUAGACUCUACUAGGACAUCUUCCAUGCAUAUCUUCGAUCACUAAUUCUGCUUCAACUCGGUUAGUAAUGGAAAUGUCAGAUGAUGGGAUAACUUCAUGGAUUAUACCAGAAAAUCUUUCUUUCUGCUAAUCGAAAGUGUACUUAUCAUGUACUAGAUGUAUUAUUUAUUAAAUUCAUUCUAAAGGCAAGAUAUCACUCUUCCGAUAUAUUCCGAUAGGUACUAUUCAGUAUCGUAAGCCUUCUCAUUUCCUCCAUUUACUAAAUUCACUACGAGACUUCACCAUGAUGCUUUGCACACCAAAACAGUCGUUUGGUGUACCGAGAUGAGAAUAAAGAUAGAGGAAGGUUUAGACUCGUAUUCCUCCAUAUUACCUCGAAAAAUUAUAUGUCAGUUCUAAUAUCAUAAUUAAACGUUUAGAAAUCUAAACACAUAAAAUUUCUAGAUUCGGUCGGCAACAGACCAUAGAUCCAAUUAACCGAUAGCAUAAAGCAUCACAAAUUAUUAACCACAAAAAAGCAUCUUAGGCAUCGUCCUAAAUUAAGCUAGUGCUUGUGUCUAUUCAAGCUUAAACUAAUGCUCUGAUACCAACUGUGACAUUCUAAUUUUCACGGCCAGAAAAGACCGAUUUUUUUAUGCUUUAUUUUGAAAAUCAGAGCAACCUUUUAAAGAAAAGAGUUUCGGAAUUUGUUCGCAGAAAAACAUGAUAAAUAUGCUAUCAAAGCAUUUCCGAAGAAAUGUAUUUUUAAUCAUUUUCAAAACAUUGGGAUGUCAUCGUCAAUACAGAAACAUAAUCAUAAACAGAACUUACAUUCAUUUAACUAGUGAUCUACAUCUCUUUUAAAUCUCUCAGUGUAAAGUAGCUUCAUAUCGACACCUGUGAUACAAAUAAACUGGAGUGGGUCAGGUUGGGGAACCUGGUGAGUACAUAGGGUUUUCAACCUACAAUAAUAUAUUUGUUAUGUUUAAACAUCAAACAGUCAACGCAAUUACCCAUCCUCAUUAUCUUCUUUACUCUUAAGGAUCUACCCUAACAAUUACUUAUUCUUCAUCCAUUUAUUCCUAAGGAUUCUCUAAAGGAAUAGGCACAAAUUCCAUCAUUGCCAAUGACACAACUGUCAAUGUUAUCUAUUAAGAACAACUGCCAAUAUUACCAUUUAGGCACAACUGCCAAAAUUGUGACAUUCUCUAUGAGGCGCAACGGCCGAUAUUAUCCUUUAAGGCAGCUGCUAGGGUUGUGAUGUUCUCUACUAGGUGCAGCUGUCAAUACAAUCGUUAGAGCGCAGCUGCUAGGUUGCAUAGAGUACAUCGUAGAUCAAAAAUAUCUACAGGUUGUGGCGCAGCUGUCAAUGCUCAUCUAUAGGGCUCUAAGUCCAUGCUGCCAAUGUUCACCUAUAGGGCACUAAGUCCAUACUGUCGAUGUUCCUCUAUAUCAGCUUUCAUCCCUCAUCAUUUAUCUACCCAUGUUUUUCCCAACAUAUUUUGUAGAUAUAAAAUACAUAUAUAGUUUAAAUCAUUUAAAACAUGCAUAAAAUUGUUCAUCCAACAUAGAUAGCAAGUAUACAUAAAAUAUGCACACAUAACAUGUAAUUUAUAUCAAAUACUUCAUAUCUAUGUGUAAGAUGAAAGUAAAUAUGCAAUCACAUAUAAACUCUUCAACAUAUAUUUAACUCGUUAACAUAUAUUUAAUACUUUAAUUAAUAUUUGUAAUAAAAUCAUGUUCAUGAAAGGGACUAUGCACUCAUAAUACGUAAUUUAUAUUAAAUACUUCAUAUCUAUGUGUAAGAUGAAAGUAACUACGUACUCACUUGUUAAAGUGACGAAUCAAAAUUCGAGCAACGCUUCGCUUCUUAAUAAUAUUAUUUCCUUCGACAAAACUUAGUAUUAUUACCACUAGAUUUUCGUCUAAUAUUUAUUGUGACUAAUUAUUAGUCUAUAUAUGUCAUUAACUCAGAGUCUACUUCAUGAUUUAUCAAGUAACGAUCAGCUAGGCAGGACAGUUAGGAAGUAGGACCAUUUUGGUAUAUAGCUUUUCUGAAAUCCAUUAAAAAACCUUAUGUGACCAUUCUAUCAGUAUAACAACUUUGAAUCACUGAUAAAUUUUAUUUAUAGGUUCAUAAUAACAAUAUUAUAAGCUAUAUUUAAUGUAGGGUAGCAUAACUUACUUAGCUAGGAGUCGGGCUCUGCAGGGGUAGAACUUCGUCACUGAAUCGUUCUAAGAAAGAUUCCUGCAACGCUUCAAUGCUCACCUUACUAUACUAAAAACUACAGAAAGAAAAAGUCGAAUCAUGAGUGACCGAAAUGCUCGGGGGAUAAAAAGAGAAAGAAUCUUGAAUGAAGAGAAUGAUGCAAGAAAUAUAUGAGAGCCUAGAGGCUCUUAUUUAUUGUAAUUGAAUUUUCAAAAACCACCAUGCAUAUUUACUUAAAUGACUAAACACUCCUUUAUAAUACCAUUUUAAAUAGAUUUAACGAUAUUUGUACUAUACUAAUGUCGAAAGUACUCAACAUUAGUCUUAUAAUUACCGCAUCGUCGAUUACUUUCUAAUGAUAUAUACAUAUGUAUAUAUAUGUAGACGUAUAUAUGAUAUACGCUUUAUUUUUAUACGUAAAUGUGCUAUUAAAAAUUAUAACUCGUUCAUACGAAUUCCAUUUUUGACGUUCUGUAUAUAUCCAUGCGUUGGUAUUUACGAGUACUACAACUUUCAUUUAGACACCGUCAGCUAAUUCUCAUUCUAUCUCAGAUCUACAAAACUGUAUCGAAUUUAUCGCGCUCGAAGAGUAGGGACCAAGUUUUGUCCAUAUCUUUAACAUACGAGCUCUAUUCUCGAUGUUAUUUAUAUCCACGUGUUGGUAUUUAUGAGUAAUACAACUUUCAUUUAGACUCCAUUGGCUAAUUCUCAUUCUAUCUCGAAUUUACAAAUUUGUAUCGAAUUUGUCGCGCUUGAAGAGUAGGGACUAAGUUUCAUCCAUAUGUUUCGCAUACGAGCUCCGUUUUAGACUGUCUUUUUAUUGUUGAGCUCCUAUAUACGAGAUCUUAAACUCUCGUUUAGACUAUUUUGUAUAAAAAUCGACCGAUCUAAAAUUCGAAUUUCGGGCUGUACACUCCUAUGCUAAAUCAUAGAAAAAUCAUAACUUCCUCAUACGAAGUCAGAUUUGGAUGUUCUUUUUAUACACACUCUCGGUUUAACAUAUAAUACAACUUUAAUUUAGAUCCCUUGGGAUACAAAGUAUUUUAUUGUAAAUUCACUUUUUAUGAUUCCUGGUAUGUGUCGGUUUUGUAGUAAAAACUUCGACGAUUCAUAACUUCUUUGUUAUAACUCGGAUUUCAAUGUUCUUUAUAUGUACGGAACCCUUGUGACAUAUACUAUAACUUGGUCAAUAUUAUUUAUUCUAAAUAAUCUUAUACCAAAAAAGUUAUUUUUGACGCUUAUUGUCUCUAAAUUGAUAACCCGAAUCUGCGGAUGUUACAUGCAAGGGCUCCCAUUGCUGAAGUUUGAGAAGGAUCAUCUAUGUGUAGCCUGUGAACUAGGGAAGCAGAGCAGAAAGGUUCGCUCAACAAUCAUAAACACCAAAGUGAUCGAUCCACUUGAGCUUUUAUAUAUAGAUUUAUGUGGUCCAUCGGCUAUCGAGAGCAUUUGUGGUAAAAAGUAUAUCUUAGUAAUUGUUGAUGAUUUUUCUAGAUUUACGUGGGUUUAUUUUCUCAAGUAGAAUGAUUAAGCUUCAACUGCGAAAGCUUUCCCGGAAUGUUCGCAGCGACAAUGGUUCAGAGUACAAAAACCAUGCGUCUGAAGAAUUCCUAACUGAAAAGGGAGUUACUCACAACUUCUCGGCUCUUUACAGUCCACAACAAAAUAGGGUUGUUGAACGACGAAACCGUUCUUUGUGCGAAGCUGCGAGAACCAUGUUGUCAUUUGCGAACUUGCCACUUUAUUUUUGAGCAGAAGCUAUUGGCACAAUGUGUAUUACUCAUAAUCGAUCCCUCCUUAGUAAAUGAUUCUCCAUUACCCGCUAUGAAAUUCUUAACAAAAGGAAACCCUUGUGACAUAUAUUAUAACUUGGGAUACUCUCUGACUUUGAAGGCAUAUAUGGUUCUCAACAAAAAGACAAGACAAAUAUAAGAGACCUAUUAUGUCACCUUUGAUGACAAUUAUUUAAAGAAGUAUUAGAAGACUGACUCUCAAUCAGAGGAAAAUUUUCCCAUAACCAAUCCGAUGACAAUUCCUCUUUUUGAUAUUUAUGUGGAAUUUCUAAACCUAUUUGAUGAACCGGAGAAGGCAAUCUCUUUGGAAUCCAAGGCAGCAGAUAACAAGGAGUACGAGCUGAAAAAGAUUAUUGAUGACGUUGCGAAAGAUAUGGAACACUAGCCACCCACUUCGAAAGAAUAUGACAUUCCGUGCCAACCUCAAGCUGUGAAUGUUCCACCUCAGGGGGAGGAUUUCACAUCAACUUCCUCAUCUGACACACCUGUUGAGGGGGAGAAUGAAGUUCCUGAAAUCAGCCUAGAACCUUCAUUCCAGUGUGAGAAUCCAACUGUGGAAGAAGAGUUUAAUCCAUCAUUCGAGGGGAAGAAUACGAAUAAAAAUGAUGAUUCGGAAGUUCAAUCAGAAUUUGAAGAAGUAAAUGUAGAACUAGAUCCAUCCUACGAUCCUAACUACCCUUCACAAACAAAAUGGAAUAGAGAUCAUCCGAAAAAGCAAGUGAUCGGAGAAGUUUCUUCGGGAGUUCUUACGAGAGCACAACAUAAGGCGAAACAAACUUCACUAUUCUCCAAAGUGGAAUUUUGCAUGUUUAAUUCGUUUAUCUCCAAGAUUGAACAAAAAAUGUUAAGAUUGCUCUUGAUCAUUCUGAUUGGGUGCAAGCAAUGCAGGAAAAGCUUAAUGAGUUUGAAUGAAAAAAGGUUUAGAGACUUAUUUUGACUCUGAAGGAUGUAUCUGUUGUAGGCUUAAAAUGGGUGUUUCGUAAUAAGCUUGAAAAAGAGGGUGAUGUGAUACUAAACAAGGCUCGGUUAGUAGUCAAAGGGUAUUGCCAAGAAGAAGGGGUUGACUAUGAGGAAACUUCUGCACCAGUAGCAAGGUUGGAGUCAAUUCAAAUCUUUCUGGCAUAUGCAGCACACAUGAACUUUGAAGUCUAUCAAAUGGACAUCAAGUGUGUCUUUCUGAAUGGGGAACUAGAAGAAACAGUGUAUGUGGAACAACCACCUGGAUUCGUAAACAAAAAAUAUAUGAACCACUGUUACAUUCUGUACAAAGCAGUCUAUGGUCUGAAGCAAGCUUCGCGAGCCUGAUAUGAAACUCUCACUAGAUUCUUAAAACAAAUUUAAACAAGGCUCAGUCGACACAAUAUUCUUUCGUAAGAAAUAUGGUGACCAUCUGAUGAUCGUCCAAAUCUAUGUUGAUGAUAUCAUCUUCGGAUCUACUAAUACUAGAUUAACUGCAAAGUUCUGAAAGUUGAGGGAGACUAAAAUUGAGAUGAGCUUACUUGCGAAGAAGACCUUACUUGCGAAUUUUAGAAUGGUGGGAGAUUCAAAGGUGAAGGUUUCAAUGGCAUUCAAAACGAAACUAACUCCAUCUCUAGACAAACCAGCUACUGAUAUGACUCUUUAUCGUCAAAUGAUAGGUUCAUUGUCCAUACAUCGUGUUUUCUUUUUGCUAUUGUGAUAGGUUUCAAACAAACCCUAGGGAACCCUACAUGACUGCUAUUAAGAACAUCUUCAGAUAUCUAAAACAAACAACCUCGCACGGAAUUUGGUACCCAUCUAGUUUGGGGUUCUUUUUGCAAGCAUUGUCGGAGGUUGCAAUUUUAAUCGCAAAAGUACAACUGGAGGAUGCCAAUAUCUUGAUGGCAAACUCGUUAGUUGGCAAUCAAAGAAACAGACAUGUGUCUGUCUCACUGUCGACCGUCGAAGCUGAAUAUAUUGCAGCUACCUCCUGUACCUCGCAGGUGAUAUGGAUUCAAUGUCAGUUAAGGGACUAUGGCAUUAACAUGAAAAAAUACCCUUAUACUGUGAUUCCGAAAGUGUCAUUCGCAUCUUCCACAACCCAGUGCAACAUUUGAAAACCAAACACAUUGCACUGAGGUAUCACUUCAUCAAGGAUCAUGUGGAAGAUGGAAAUGUCGAGAUUCACUUUGUUAGAUCCUCUAAUCAACUUGCCGAUAUCUUAACGAAAGCGUUGCCAUAACAAACCUUUAACAUAAUACUUCAAGGCAUAGGGAUGAUUGAAGCAUAAUCAGUUCUGAAUCAACCUUCGUACUCGUAAUUUAUUGGAUGAACUGGAAAUUUAUCCAAAUGUUCGGAGUGAUAUGUAGUAUACUUUCAAGUUGUGAAUUGGUCUGAUCACUCGGAGCGACUCGCAGCUACUGUUCAUUUGAAGGUUCGGAGCUUCUUGUAUCCUUUGUAUAUUUUGUUUUUCUUAAGUUUCUGUACACUUGUGUUUUUGUUCUUUUACUUUCUGUUUUUAUUUAUUUCUUUUUUAGAAAAAUCAAAAAUCCAAAAAUAUUUCUAUUUUUAUUUCCUCUUCAGAAAAAUUCAAAAAUUACAAAAACAUGCUCUUAAUUUACAGUCUUAUUUCCUUUUAUGAAAAAUAUCAAAAAUACCAAAAAUAAUAGACAAUUGAGCAGGAUUGAAGGAAUAAAUCAUAACACUCUCAAUUGUCAUUGAUGGGGAAGAUAUUUAACUCCAAAUCUUUACACUAGUUAAGUGUCCUUAUAAGCAUGUUGCUGCAUGUUGUCUGAAGCCUCUGAGACUCUAUGUUCGAAGCCUUAAUGAUUCAAUAAUACCAAUUGUUUCUUCCCAAUCAGGCUGAUAAUUCACAUAAGUCAUUGAGCUACCUUACUCUUCUCAUAUUGAGUUAAGAGAUGACUUCUUUGUCAUUCUUUCGUAUAGCAGAGGUACACUCUUCUUCGGAACCACCUUCCAAAAUUUCUCCAUCACUUUCGCUUCCAUUAACAUAACCCUUGAGACUUUUGGAUUUUACCACUGAGGUUUAUGGUUACACAAAUUCUAUGUUUAUGAUCUUAAAUUCGUUAUCACCACGAAUUGAGUGAAACCGAAAAUCCAACACAUAUUUAUCAAUUGACAGUGAACAAUUUAUAUGUUCUAGAUUAAUCACCAUGGAAUUGACGAGACUCCACUUUUGUGGUUCAUCACAUUAAAUCUCUUUUUAUUUUUUGCGAGAUCUUAAUGAAAUGUUCUAGACCUAAGAAGUUUCUUCCCAUAUGAUCCAGUUUUUAUUUUUCUUGAGAUUUCUAUAGUUUUCCAGCCAUUUAAAUUAAUUUCAAAUCAUACUUGUUCUUAUGGCUACACUAGUCACACAAGUACUUCAUCCGAACGUUCAGAAAUAUGUCAAGUUUUGGAGUUUGGUUGAAGAUAACGCCACUAUUAAGCGUUCAUGAAAAGAUGUCUUUCACCGUUUCUCAACAAACAGACGAUCGUAAUUCAACGGGACACCACACAGACACUCCCGAGUCUCUCUUGACUCCGAAGGAAGAGAUCAUUGCCCAGGAUCCAACUGCUUCAUGUCUUUACUGACAUCACUAGGAUCCCUUAGAAAUUUUGCUUUAUUUCUUUAUCUUUGGCACACUCUUGCACGAAAAUCCUUGUGAUUUUCAAAAAGUCUAGUUCACAAUUCUAUUGGUUACUUUUAGAUUCGGAGAACGGGAAAUGACAAUCAGAUACGAAUGGGUAGAUCAGAAAAGGCGGUCUUUAAGGAAUACGAAAUGGUGAAUCUUAAGGGAUAAGAUUGUGAUAAUGGCGUGUGCACAUUUCAAAUUUUUCCUGACAUCACGCCUUGUCAGUUACGCCGCCUGACAUCAUGCCUGUGACAUACGCUUUUUCAGGUGCUUUUUCAAGGAAAGUGAACAGUCUCCAACUGUAUUUCUCUAUCCUAUACUAAUGUAUAAAAGGUCUUUGACGUUUCAUUCUUCAUUAUAGCUUUCAAAAACUUUUUGCUACCGGCAAUUAAAAUCCUUUUUCUCCCUCAAGCACUGGUUAUCAUCUUCUCCAAUGGCGUCUUCAUCCAACACUCCGUCUGCUGUAGAUCAGACUGCUUCAUCAGGGUUGUUGGGUGUGAAGUCUAACCAAACAUUCUCCCAUGGUUGUUGCUCUUUAAAAACAGAGCAUGUUCCUUUGUAUCUACUGUCUAAGGCUUACUGCACUGCACGAUAUGAAAAGAGUGAUUCUACCAUCUAUUUUGAAAUUGGAAAUCUGAAAACCUGAAUCACCAAGUCAAGAUUCAGUCGAUUGCUGGGGUUUACUCAAGGACGGGAGUUGGUUGAUCCAUAGUCAAUUCUUGACUUUGUGAUUCUAGAAAUAUUUUACAAUAUGGGUUAUAGGGAAUCUCUUGUCAUUGUCUCCAAGUUCAAGAAGCCAAACAUUCCUCCUGUGGGGAAUGUUUUAUUUAUCGUAAUUUUCAAGAGCUUUUCCGAAAGGGUGACCGGAUCUAAUAGUGAAAGUAAGCUUUUUCUCACAAUCCUCUAUGGUUUGUACUCAAGCAUCAAUCUGGAUUAUGGUUCGGUGCUUUGGACUCAACUUGUUCAAAGUACUCUUUCAGUUACAAGGCACAACGAUAUAUCACGUGCUUUUUUUUGUCGAUCGUUAUUUAGAGAGCCAUUGAUCGCCACCAUAUUCCAGUCAUUGAAGGUUCCAUCAUUUCUUAUAUCCCGGUUUUUCAAACUUCAAAUGUGAUUUUAUCUGAUAGUUUGCGUUUUACCUUCAUCGGAUCUAUACCAGAGAUGAUGCUUUGUAAUGUACCGGCCGAUAGUGAAGUAAUCCAAGCCUAUCCUAGACAAAUGGAUUCAGGUCCUCGAGCAUUGAUAGAUAUAGUGCGAAAGGUUCUUGAGGAGGUGGACAAGCCAAAGAAAGGAGGAAAACGAAAAGCAAAGGCAGGAACCUCUGAACCUGCAUAGACUCCGAUGAAAAAGAAGCGACCCACUUGUAGGCAAUGAACUCCUACUCCAAGUGAUGCCAAGGAUUCACAGUCCAAUACCCUCUCUGAUGUUCAUAUUCCAGAGCAAGUCCAGAAAGAUGAAGAAGACACACCUGCCACUUCACACCCAUUGGUUUCGGAGCCAAUCACCACGAAUCUUGAGGUAACCUUCUUUAUGCCAACUUCUAUUCUGAUAACAGAUGACUUCUUCCAAGAUUUUUCUCCUCUUUCUCCUAUUGCUUCUACUACUCCCAUCUCAGUCGCACCAUGUAUGAUUGUUUCAGUGGGUGUUUUGCAACCCCAAGUAUCGGUCGCUCAAUCAACUCCAUUCUUCACAGAUUCCACAACAACAAAACCAUAAGUACAUGUCAGCAUAUCUGAUACAGGGGCAGGUGCUUUGGGUGUAUCUAUUGGUGCCGAUUUCCCACCUAUCUCACUACUGUGAAUAAAUUAUCCAGAUACUAUGUUCGGUGAUGAUCAGGACAACUUUGAAUACUUUCAUUAUAGUCCUUUCAAUAUCUAGCAGUCUAGUGAUGAUGAGGCUCCCAUUACCAACACACAGUUCAAGGUUCUUCGCGAAAAACAAGAUUCUUUACUUGAAUCAUCUAAAACCUCCUCUAGCUUAGACUACUCUAUUGCAGCUCACAAAGCUUUGCUCCAGACAAUGAUGAAGGAUCAUGCUACAAAUCUUGAACAAGUUAAAAAAGUUGUUGCUGAUUCUUCGACUGUCUGCAAGGAUACGACAGAAAAAGUCGAUAAACUAGUUUCCAAUGUUCAAACCUUCAUGGGAAACUUCCAGACUUCCUUUGAGGCCAACACUGCCAAAGCAAAUAAGGUGAUUACUAGUCUUGGCACUACUCUUCGCUCUAAGAAAGCUGCUAUUGAGAAUAUUCAUAUUGGCAUUCAAACUGAUAAUACAGAGUUCCAAUCGUCCAUAUCCGCAAAGAUCGAGGAACUACAAGACGAUUUGGUAAUGGAGAACAAGAUAAUGGAUGAACUUGCAGUAAAAACAGAGAAGUUAAAGGUCAUGUAUGUGAAGCUUACUCAUACGAAUCAACAUAUUGAUGAGCUGAAAUCUGAAAAGGUUGUCAUCAAAAGCUGCAUGGCUAAUAUAAAUUUAUAUUUGCACAACUUGAUUGAGACUCGUGAUUCUCUCCUCACAGUCUUUUUCCAUCAGCAUCUCACAGAAAAAUCGAAGCCCAUCUUCUCAAUGCUCGAUCAUAUUGUCGGUGCUUCGCGAUAUUCUAUUCCAAAACAAGGGGAGAACCUAUGAGAAUUUCUGAUGUGGAUAAAAGAACUAGUGGUCGUAAUGAUCAUGAAGAAAAGCCCAAAUCAAAGAAACUGAAGGUUAAUGUAGCUUCGAGUUCGAGAGGCAAAUAAAAAGUGUUAGAUGAUGGUGAUUUUGAAGAAGAGGAUGAGAAUGAGAAACUAAAGUGUAAAUCUGGCGUUGCUGAACUUGAUAAAAAUCUACGAGUAGCUAAAGAAGCUAAAGAAAAAGAGAAGGCAGCUCGUGACGCAAAGGAAACAUUGAAAGCAUAGAAAACCAUUUUUUCUCUGUAGACACUGGAGCGAAUUUCGAAUGAAGUCAUUAAUAAUCCGAACAGUUAAUAGCUAGAACCUGUUGGAUCAUUCGAGCUGGAGAACUCUCAGGAUUCGCAGAUUAAUUUGCCUAUUACGUCGAAGACAUUUCUGUUUCAUUGUUUUGAUAAGAUUACGAACGUUUCUCAUACUGACAAAGGUGCUGAUGGGAUGCUCUUUUCAUUUUAUCUAAAGCACAUGAGGCCAAAAUAUGAAACGUUGAGCUCAAAGAAGAUCGCAACUGUAAAGGUGUUCGAACCAAUUGAAACUGGGAGCUUUAUUAAUGCUCGUUUCAAGGUUGCUUGCGGGGCAGUGCAUUAAAAGCACGGAUUUACUCUCGCAGAUCUGCCCUACCUCAACCCAUUCUAUUUGAUUUCUCUGUUACUUCUACUGCUAAAGGAUCAACAGAAAUUCAAGCCUAUCAUUGCACAUCUGAAAUGAAUGUUUGUUUGUUACAUCCAAGAGGUUGGUAAGAUGGACAUGAAAAUUGCCAUUUUCCUUAAUAAGAAACCUACAGUUCUCCCCAAGGAACCUCUGAAGGAUCUUUAUACAAUGAAGUUGGGGAGGAUACGAAGGGAGGAUUAGAGUGUCGCUUUUCGCAUAACAGAAAAACCAGAUGUGAACUAUCACAAAGUCGGCUUCUAUUUUCCAGAAAAACAUCUAUACUCUUCUUCCUGUCUAGAAGACACUGUGGAUUUUGUGAGUCAAAAUAAAGUGAACAGCGUUGCAGACAUGAAAUGUUUUUCUGACAUGAUCAAUUGGUACAUCCUGGUUCAUAAGACUCUGCUGAGCAUCAUACCGAAACUCUUUAUAGUUCAGAGAUGCUAACCGCAAUGAAGAAUCUUCCUUCCUAAUUGACACAAAGGGGGAGAUUGUUGGGCUAUAAAGUGUUGUGUUAAUUUUGUAUAGUAUUAUUAUAGUCCAUUAGUAAUGGGUUGGGCCUGUCCACCUGGUUUCAUUAUUGUGCUAGGUUUACGGUAUUUAUAAUGCAUGCAUGCACCGUGUUUUGUAUCAAUCUUCUUGUAACUCUACAUUGCCUUUACACUACCAGUUCUUAGUCGAGCUCAUCUAAGGCAGUGCAUUUUAACCAUUCAGCAUAGCUUUGAUCUCCAUUCUUGUGUUUGAUUAUUUUACCUAUUUGAAUCUAUCGAUCUUAUUUGUUUUAAUCUUAUCAAACCCAAGAAUUUCCCCACCUUUACGCCAAAGUGAUAUUUAGAAUUGUUAAGUUUCCUGUUGAUUUUUUCCAAGAUAUAGAAUGCCUUUUCAAUAUCAUGAAUAUGCUUCUUAGUUUUAUCUGACUUAACCACCAUGUUGUCUAUAUAGACUUCCAUGGUAUUCCCAAGUUAUUCUUUGAACAUUUUGUGUAACACCCGUUCCAGGUAUAAAUUAAUUUCUGAAUGUUAAACUUUUAUUUUGGGUGGCCUCAUAGUGGUAGAGCUUCACCACGGCAUGGCAGUAUUUUUAUGAUUGUGGGAAUUUAAUGACCCGCCAUGGCGUGGCAGCUGGUUUUGGAGAAAACCCUAAUCCUUGGGAUUUAGGCCCUAUUUGAAGGACAUUAUGGCUAUGGUUUCGUGAUCAUUCAGCCUCGACUAUCCUCUCAAGCUCAGAAAGCCUAAUUCUAGCCACCAUUGCAUUUGUGAACUCAUUUUACUAUUUUUGGUGAUCUUUGAAGGAGAUAUAAGCUUUUGGUGUGGUGAUUCACCUUACAAGAAUCGUCUACAUCUUCUAGCAUAUCCUCUGGACCUUGGUGAGUGUCCAAGACCCUAACUUUUCCUUGGAAAGUUUGUAGAUCUUUAGAUUUUGUCCCUUUUCUUCAUGUCUUGAUGGGUUUAGGUGGUGAGAUCUCGUAAAGUUUGCAACUUCAUGAAUCUGUAGAUCAUUUGGGGUAUUUGGUGUUUUGGAUCUAAAGUAGGAAUGAGUUUUGGUUUCAUGCAUGGAAUCUUGUUCAUUAAACCCUUGUUUUGACCAAAUAGGAGUUCAAGACAUGCAUUUGACAUGUAUGUCUUAAAAACACGAUUUUUUAUGUUAAUUAGGUGCUAGGAACCCUCCUGGAAUUGAUCGACAAGAAACCUUCAAGAUUAAGUUCUUAAUGAUUAAGCCAUGUUAAGUUUUUGCCAUUUUUGGAACUAGGAGUAGAGAUCUUGAUCUCUUGGAGAGUCAUAAGGGAUAAAGUUCGAAACUUUAUCCAUCUAGACCCUAGAAUGCACCAAAUUUGAGCUUUAGAGCUCUUUGAAUCGAAGAAAACGGCUUACCCAUUAAGUUGUUGGGAACCCAGUGCCCAUGGUGUCGCCUUAGGUUACCAUGGUGUGAUGACUAGGAAAUGGCCAUCUAUAUUGUCGUAUAUGGGCCACGACGUGGUCAUGGAUGGCCAUGAUGUGGCAGUUGACUAAAGUCAUUAUUGUUGAAUUUUAGACCGGUAUAACUUUUAGUCAACUGAGAAGGGUUGAGAACUUAGAAGGGCGAGAUGGUCUUUUUCUCAAAUGAGGGUUUAUUGUGGUAUCAGGGCUUGUUGAGUUGGGGAUUUAUUGUGAUAGCUAAUUAGGUUUUAGUUUUUGAUAUUUUUAGUUGGAGAGACUUCAUCAGCAGUAGGUCAUGUGUGAGAUCUAUUUGUUGAUUUAUUGAAGUGAUUCUCUUCACUAUACUUGUGGGUUGAAGACACCAAUGUCGACCCAUUAGAUUAUGUUUGUAGGAUGCUUAUUGUGUUUGCGAAUCUUGCAUGUGUUUGCAUUUAUGUUGGACGAGGCCCAUUAUGUUUGAUGGGCGGGACCCACUAUGUGUUUGAAUUCUCAUGAAGUAUUUUCCUUAAGGCUUCUUAUGCGAGGAGCACCCUCAUAUUCUUGAAAAAAUUAAUAUGGCAGUAAUUCCCUUGUACUCGUAUUUUGACCACUCGCUUACACCCCAUCAGUAUCUUGAGUCCUAAUAAUCAAAUGAACUUCCACUAUAACUCCCUCUAACCCAUUGUGUUGAACUAAUACAUCGAGCCAACUACUGAUCCUUCGAGCAGGACCCUAUCUUGCUCCCACCAAGGGCUCAUACCAAAAAGGUUGACAACCUAAAUCUCGUUCAUCAAAAUGGCUCCACCCAUGACUCACAGUAUGCAAGACGGCAUAUGACAAUCCUUCGAUAAUAAUAACCAGGAAAUCACAAGAACGAUGAUCUUUAGGUGGGGACUUAACGAAACCAGACAUAAAGUCUUGCACACACAAACAUACAAGAAAAAAUUAUUAAAAGGCAUGAAGGAAUUCAUACACGCAAGGUCUCGAAGUCUUUGCUCUGCCUCCUAAAAGACUGCGGAUGAUGGGGUCUGAGCCGCCCCAAAUGAUAAACAUGGGAAACUUUCCCAAAUAUGACCUGGUUGAUGACAAAGAUGACAUAACUCUACCUGCAUGGUGCAAUAUUACCGAACAUGACCCUUCCUUUUGCACCUGUCGCAUUUGAACUUGCAGCAUACAGGCUCGUGAGAACCUCCACCCUUAACGAAUGUGUCAUGGCCCCUCGCACUUCCAGCACUAGGCAUGGCAACAUCGAGCUGCAUAGAUGUUGCUAGCAAAGUCAUAUCAUGAGUCCGCUUCCUCUUUCCCAGUUGCAUCUCCAAAACAAGUUCCUGCUUUCGAGUCACCUCAACAUUCCCAUCGGUUUUUUGAAUGGCUAAGAUAUGAUCCUUGAACUUGGCGACCAACAUGUCAGUGAUAUAACCAAUAACGCCAGACAACUCCUUUUGUAAGGUCCAUGAAACCUCGGUGACAAUCCAAUCACGAAAUCGAUCCCCCGGAAGGCAUGAUGUAUCCUUAACCUUUGAUCCCUCGGAGCAAGAACUAGCAAUGGGAUCCUCAUCCCAGAAAAAACUUGGGGCUCCACAACCUUGGACUCGCGGAAAGGAAGAGUAUGGUAUCCUACAAUAUCCAUAAUCUUAGUGUAGAACAUGCUCAUAUGUUCAUCCAAAAUCCCCUUUGUGAUUGUACCUAAGAUCACCAAAGUCUACUGCAAAAUACCUUAGGUGAUCUUUGACGAGAUGAACUCUAGCAUCUACUCAUCAAUCGGCUCAGUACCAGCACCUAAGCCUAAAUCAGAACUUCAACCUCCUCCACACGUGCUCAUCACCAUACUGAAAAGUAACCAUGACAUUAAUAAGAAUAUACCCAAAGAAUCAUCAUCCCAUAAGCUUCCUAGAUUCUCUGUGACUCUCCUCGAUUCGAGUAUGGAUCCUGUGCUUUCAGUAGUACGGGCCCAAUACUACCUUCCGCACCUAUCCAUACUUUUCUCAAGAAUUAUCAUGAAUCCUCUAAGUCACCUUCUCAAACUAGUACUCCAAGUACUCACUAAAUAGCACAUCCAAACCCACUAAAACACUUCUUAUUUUCUCCUAGGUUCCUCACCCCAUCUUGUCAUCAGCUGGUGAAGAUCCCUUACUAAUGUUAGCUAACUACUUCAUGAAUUCAAUUGCAUGCAACAAAGCUUAGAUAAUCCUUCGACUAAAUGACUCAACCCUACAAUGGUUAGACCCAGACAAGAGUUGUGUAGUAUCAAUCACGUUGAGGUUAUUUAACCUCUACAGCAUGCAACAUAACAUAUUCUUGAAAUAAUUAACUCUCACCAUUAUAAGUCCCACAAAUCACAAAGUAAGCAUCAUUUGGGUAUUGAGAAUUCUAAACCAGUGCACCACCUAAUCAGGAUUUUCUAUCCAAUCAUCUGAAAUCCAUAGUAGCAUGAAGUUCUAAAAGCUCAACCAAUAGGCAUAUAAAGGCAUCUCUCCUAAAACUUUAUCAUCCAAAUCUUGAGCAGCUCCUUAGCCCUAAUCUAGCCUGCAAUUCUCAUAACAUAUAACAUAACAUUAUGUAUAGGUAUUUUGGGAAUCACUUACUUGAUAUCGGUUAAUUGCAUACACCACACCCCUUUUUUCUUUAUAAAAAUCUUUGUAGAAAUAUUUAUUUUCUUUCAAAAAGAUUACCAAUUCCUUAAUAUGAGUAGUUUGAGUUCAGACACGCCCGAAAGUGUGCCCGAAUCCCUCAAACCAAGGCUCUAAUACAAACUUGUAACAUCCCAAAAAUCAUAAGUACAAAUUUCAUUUUUAAGUCAACCAAAAACCAUCAAGUAUUCAUAAAAACCACCAAAAGUAUGUCAAUGUGAAAAUAGCUAUCAAAGUAAAAUCCCAAAAUCAAAAAAUGUUGACAUAUGGGUGGAUGAGUUGUGAUCAGGUCAAGCCCUUCCCUUUCGAAUUAGAAGUACCUAAAACAUAAACAUAAACUAUAAGCACAAAGCUUAGUGACUUCCCAAAAUACCACAUACCAUACAUGAUACACACAUAUCAUACUAAAGCAUAUACGAGUUUAUUUCACCCCUGAGUCCCUUCCGACUCUCUGAGUCUCUUCCGACUCCCUGAGUCCCUUCUGACUCAUGAGUCCCUUCUGACUCUCUGAGCCCCUUCUGACUCCUUCAGUAUCUUUCAAUUGGUACAUGCCUAUUUCACCCCUAGAAUUAAGCAUAUAGUAUAUUAGCAAGAGUCAUGAAGAUAGCAAGCACAUACAACCAUCUUAGUAAGUGUCAUAAAGACCACUACUAUCCUACAACAUAAUCCAAUGGGUCGACAUUGUUGCCUUCGACCCACAAGCACAGUAAGGAAACACACCUCAAUCCGAAGGUAACCAAAUCACGCACGCGCUACUGCUACAAGGCUUCUGUGACAACUGUAAAUUUUUGGCCUAGUCAAACUCAAAUAAAGUCAACAAGUCAAACCAGUUAACUCAAUUAACCCUUGUAUAUUAGGGAUUUCAUCAUGUUUGCUAUUGUACAACACCCUAUCUUAAUGCAUAGAACCAUUUUGAGUCUUCACGUGUUCAGAAAAUAUAAACCCUAAUCAGAGUAGGUGAUGGAACUACUCGAUAAAACACUAUUACAUACCCUUCGGGUAAGUAUAACACUCAUAACGAGACUUAAUGAAGUUUAAAAACCUUGCAUUUCGAAGCUAAAAACUCACAAAGGUCCCAAACAAAGUCUCUCUCAAUCUCUCUCUCCCAAAUCUCUCCCAUAUCUCUCAAAUCUCUCCCAAAUCUCUCUCAUAACCUCUCUCAACUUUUCAUAAUCAAUCGGGUCAUCUCAACCCUUAACUUAGUCAAAAAUCGCUCGAAACGGAAAGAUUUAUGGAAAAACAACCUUAGAGGACCGAAAAGUCGAAAACUCUUAGAAGCGAAACCCUAUGAAGUGAAACCCCAAGAGCCGAAGUCGGAGUCUCUAGCGAACCGAACCUUCCCUUCGGUCUGAAACCGCACUGCCUUCGCCUUCACUUCCAACAUAGCACUUCACCUGCAAGAUUUUUCGGAUGAGCCUACUUUUGGUUCCCAGCCCAUAGACCGAACAUACCUUCAGUUCUAAGCACCCGAGGACCAAAUCCUCGCCUCAGACUUUGGAAUUCGCCUUCUUUUCUAGGUUUUCGAUCCUUUUCGCGAUUUCAGCUUGUUUUUCAUGAUUUUAACGUGGUAUUUUCACCCAAACUCAUAUUUUGGCAUAUAAGACCCUAAAUAUUCAUAAUUUAAUCACAUUUUGAGGUAAAUCUUUGUCUAAAAAUAAUAUCUAUUGGGUAAGAUAUUGAGGUGGAGUGUUGACCUUCCCAUAAAGUUAUGACACAAGCUACCCUCCACACCCACUCUAUGACCCUCAGUAACUAUUCAUCCCAACCUAGUCAACUAUUUGUCCUCUCGCCCUCUUUCUCCAGCACAUAAUCUUGAUCAAAGGCCGUAAAUCCUUAAUUCUCCUCCCACAUUACUCACUCUUUCACUAAAAAGCAAACUUAUUUAUCUCUCUCACUUUUUCUCUCUAAAUUCAAAUUUCUAGGUUGUUAUUGAGCAUUCUCCUCCAAUUUUGGUAAGUAUCUUCAUCCUACACUUAAUUAUAUUACACCCUUUCACUCAAAUCAUGGAUUCCUUACACAAAUAUCAUCAUAUUUGUUCAUUGAAUCUUCGAAUCUUCAAGCAUCUCCCAAGUGUUCUUGACUUGGAAACAUCUUUUCUUAAUCAUCCAUCCUAAGAUAUCACUCAAGCUGAGUUCAUACCCCUACAUUUUCAUGUUUUCUUCAAGUUUUAGGGGGGAGAAUACAAGUUAAAUUACCAAAAGCUUAACAAAAUUCAAACAUCAGCUUUCCACAGGAAAGUUUAGUUCCAUUCACGGACUGUUUUGGACACCUCAAACAUUUUUUUUCAAAACUAUACUAGAUGCAAAUAGUUCAGAUUUAUACCUUUAAAAUGAAUACUUUCACAUAUUCACACGAUUUUUCUACAAUUUAUGGUGAUUUUUACAAAACUGUCUAUCACUGUAGCUAUGAAUUCAGACCAGUCUGUGAAUAUGAACAUUUUCACAAUAGUUAGAGACUUCUAAAAAUCAUAAUAAAAUUUAAGAACAAACUAGACACAUUUUAUAAACUCUUAGAGUUUACGUAUUUAGUUUUUGACUUCGUAUGAAUUUUCUAUGAUUUUUCUAAAACAAUGCAGAAAAGUUGAAAACUAGUUAACAGAUUACAACUUCUAUAACACUUUGUAACAUGUUGACCAAAGUGUUAAUCUUUGAUAACCUUAUACCUUAUAUGUUAUUUUCUGUUGAGUUAUGUUUAGAUAACAAAAAAUAUUCACUGUAAUUUAAAUGUCCUUUGUCAUUACAAACAUAUAAGAUGAAACAUAACCAGAGUAGUUGUGUUUUGCUAAAUUACUACUUACACCGAAAGGGGUCUUACUGUCAAUGCAAAUGGGUUUUUCAUUUACUACACAAUAAACUAUAAAGGGUAUAGUUUGGGGGUUUCACAUUUCAAAAAUACAAAACAAAAGGGGAUUUCAAUCCCACCACAGAAAAGGGUUUUACACGCAUACUUCACGUAAACCCGUUAUCGUAAAUUGUGAGACACGUCUUUAUUGUACUCUUAGAGUACGGGUUAAAAUUCCUAAAAUAGUUAUAACCAGAGUCUCUUGUAGGGAGAGCAUGAUAAUUGUAUAUAGAUCUAUAUUAGGAUUGACAACCCACACCCAUUGCUGCUUGCAACAGCCUGACUGACCAGUCGGGGUGACAAAUGUCAUUUCAUUUCCGACGCUUGAAGAAUGUCGCAGCAGGUCUUCUCUGUCAUAGUAUGGUUAUAGCGACUCACAUAGGGAGAUAACAACAUAUAGUUUAUGGGGUUUACUACGUUAAAUGGAUUUAUUUAUUUAAAUGUACAUACAUUUUUUAUAUACAAGUACUAUGUAACAUGCAUACACUCGGUCUUGGGAUUUAAGACUACAUAACAUUUUAAAAGGAGAAUAUUGGAUUUUCUUGGUUAUUCAUAUUAUUUGCAAAACAAAGGGUUUCAAACUAUACAUCCAAAAGCUUAUGAACUCACCAACUUAAUUGUUGACACUUUUUUCAAAACUACUUGCAUUCUCAGGUAAUCACUAAAACAGGUAACUACCAGCUUUUGAGGAUGGGACGUUUCAGCGUCAGGAAAAACAUUUUGUCAUUAUAUUGUAAUCGAUUUUGAAACAUGUAAAGUUGUGAAAUCAUGUAACUUUCUUGAUUAUAUAUAUAAUGGUUGUAUUAACUUUGAGCACUAUUAUACUCGUUGUUGUGAUACUAUACAUGAAGUCCUCCGCCCUCGGACGUUUCCGUCAUCCUUGGUUCAUGGGUGUGAUAGCCUCUCACACUGAACAUAUCCAAAAAUCAUCCCAAUCAAUAAUUAGGGUAAUAACCCACAGUAAAAUGUCUAAAUCAUAAUCCAUCUUACUAAGGGUAAAAGACCAUUUCACCUUUCCCUUACUUGACUCAUCUAACUGAAGUGCUUUAAGCAUUCUAACACUCCUAUGGUGUACAUCCAACCCUAGAAACCUUGGAUAUAUGUUUUAUCUAUGAUACAUGAAAAAUUAUUUUUCCAAGGUUCAUAACCUAUCUAGCAUACAUGGGGAACUUUUAAACAUAAAAUUUAGUAGAAAUACAUACCUUGUAGUUGUUAGGAUUCCUUGAAAACCUUGUGAACCUAGCACCUCAAGUGUGAUGCCUCAAAUGUCUCACACAACACCAUGUAGUUGGAAUAACUUAGAGGCAAAUGGAACACUUCUUGAAAUCGGCUAUCCCUCACUUGUAUGUCUUAGUGGACGACUUUGGUGAGCAACAUGAAGCUUAUAUAGUGUGUUAUAAUUAGGGUUACACCAUGUAAAGCCUAAUUGUCAUGACCUUUCAUUUCCAUGACCCAUGGGUUCUAUAAACACCAUGGAGCAUCCUAUGGGUUUUAGCCCAAGUUGAUAAUCCAUGAAGUAUUAGCCCACUAUAUAAGUAUGGAUGAUUUUCAUAAUCAACCCCUAUAUUUAAUUAGUCUCCUUUUGAUCACUUAAUUAAUUCCAAAUUAAUUCUUGAUCAAUACUAAUUAAAUAAUAUUAUUAAUAUAUUAGAACUUAUAAUAUAUUAGUAAACCUUAAGUGUUAUUUCUCUCAUUUUAGUCUAUCCAAAUUCAUGAUGCCAUGCAACCCAAAUGGACCAUGGCAAACCGGGUCAAGUACAUACCAGAUAUAGUUAUGAACUUAGACGCCUUAUCCAACAGUCUCCCACUUGGAUGAGUCUAAUAACUAUAACUGCAAGUAUGACUUCAGGAACCGAUUUGCAAUUGUAGCUCUUUCAGGUUCACUCGGAAUUGAGAUGAUGAUGAUANUCUUUCAAGGUCUCUCGGAACUAAGAUGAUGAUGAUACGCCAUUUAAGAUAAGUGAUUAUAUAAUCCUCUAUUAUUGAUAUCAGUUGGACAAAUACGUGGAACUAUGUCUUACUUUUUGUCUUGCAGUUGUUUCCCGAUUUCCGAUUUGUUUGAUAUAGAACUUAAUCUAAUAGAUAAACUUCAACUCAUAACUACUUGUUGAAUUAUACACAAAGGCACGUUUUAUAACAUCAAGUUACCAAUACGUUUUCGUACAAUCAAUGCAUAACCAACUCAUAAGCAACAAGUCAUAUCUCUAGGUUUGAAGACUUAUAUGAUAUUACUAUCUCACAAUCACUCAAGAUAAAUUCCAUGAAGUGAUACAAGUGAGUGUGGGUUGAAUCCAAUACUCAAAACUUAUGAGCACUCAUGAGUGUUGUAGCACCUCAUUGCUAUGUCCAACCACAUAGACAUCUACAAGCCAACUCAUGACAGUCUUGAUUCAUAUCUAUUUCCAACAUAUGACUGACUGUGGAGAAUUUGCAUAAUAUGAUAUACCAUAACAUAAUUAUUUUGAAAGUCAAAAUAUGCAAAAUGAAAUUAUAUUAAAUGAUUGACAAAAGAUAGCAACACUUUACUCAUAAAUAAACAACAACUUUUAUUCAUCAUCAAAUGUCAAAUACACUUUACAAAUUUCAAAGCUAUCUAACUACUAAAACUAAUAUCAUCCUUUAGCCCUAUGCGUCUCGCAUACUGGAGAUGCUUAACCCUACCCAGUCCAUUCGUGAGGGGAUCUGUUGGGUUCUCAUCCAAUGAUACCCUAUGUGCCACGAGGAGUCCUUCUUCUAUACGAUGUCUGAUGAAAUAAUUUUUUCUUUCAGUCUGGAAGCUAGCAUCACUAUACCCUACUACUCUCAAGUCAUCACUCCCACCGAGGGUAAGGACCCAGUCCUUAGUCCUCUGUAGGUACUUUGGAAUGUUCUUCACCGCAGUCUAGUGAGCCUUGUCGGGGUUCCCCUGAUAUCUGUUGACCAUGCUCAAGGCGAAGGCCACAUCAGGACGAGUACAAGUCAUAGCAUACAUGAUCGAGCCUACAGCGGAAGCAUAUUGUACUUGACUCAUCUCAGCUAUUUCAACCUCUAUACUUGGACUCUGAGUCUUACUCAAUCUGGCAUUACUCUGGAUCGGUAACUCUCCUUUCUUGGAAUUCUGCAUGCUUAACCUAUUCAGCACCUUAUCCAAGUAGGUACUCUAACUACGUCCAAUUAGUUUUUUACUCCUGUCUUUCAAAAUCCAUAUCCCUAGGAUAUAGGCAGCUUCUCCAAGGUCCUUCAUAAUGAAACACUUCCCAAACCAGGACUUAACCUCCUGCAAAGUUGGGAUGUCAUUUCCCAGGAGUAGUAGUCAUCCACAUACAGUACCAACAAGCUAACUAUACUCCCACUAGCCUUGACAUAUACACAAGAUUCAUCUUCACUCCUUGAAAAGCCAAACUCUUUGACUUUGUCAUCAAAACAAAGAUUCCAUCUGUGAGGUGCUUGUUUCAAUCCAUAGAUGGAUUUUUCAAUCUUACACACUUUAUUAGGGUAUUCUUUGCUGACAAAUCCCUCUAGCUGACUCAUGUAAACAUCCUCAACCAACUUUCCAUUAAGGAAAUCGGUUUUGACAUCCAUUUUCCAUAUUUCAUAGUCAUGAAAUGCAGCAAUGUCUAACAUAACCUUAAUAGACUUAAUCUUUGCUACUGGUGAAAAGGUCUGGUCAUAGUCAACUCCCAGAGUUUGAGAAAAUCCCUUUGCAACUUGUCGUGCUUUAUAAGUGUGUACAUUACCAUCCAUGUCGGUCUUCUUCUUGAAGAUCCAUUUGCACCCAACUGUCUUACGACCUGGUACAUUGUCAACCAAGUUCCAAACUUGAUUGUCAUACAUGGACUGUAUCUCGUUGUCCCUACCCUCUUUCCAUUUAGCAGCCUUAGGGCCUGCCAUGGCUUCCGUGUAGCUGUUAGGUUCAUCCAGACCAAUCAGUUGUUAUCACUGAUAAGUGUAUCACCUUCCACAGUAAUAUGGAAACCAUAAUAAUGCUCAAGUGCAUUCCUAACUCUCGUGGAACGCCUUAGAGGUACAGACUCAUCAGUCAGAUCAACAGGAGUUUCUUCCUUAGGUUGAUUUCUAGUGUUUGAGGUUCCUUCACCACUUCACUCUUGAAUUUUUUCAUGGUCAAUUUGCCUCCCACUGUUUCCUUGGCUUAUGAACUCUCUCUCUCGAAAGACUCCCCUCCUUGCUACAAAGACCACAUUAUCAUUAGGUCUGUAGAAGAUGUAACCGAAGGAUUCCUGUGGGUAGCCGAUGAAAAUACACUUCUCACUUCGGGGUUCGAGCUUAUCGAGAUUCUCACGCCUCACGAAAGCCUUGCAACUCCAAAUCUUGAUGUGGUCCAGAUUUGGAACUUUUCCGGUCCACAUCUCAUGAGGUGUUUUGGCAACCUUUUUGGUAGGGACUAGAUUAAGAAUAUGGGUGGCAGUCUCUAAGGAAUACCCCCAAAAUGAGUUUGGUAGAGAAGCUCGACUCAUCAUGGAACGAACCAUGUCCAACAAAGUUCAAUUACGCCUCUCAACCACACAAUUAAACUGUGGCGUUCUGGUAGGUGUCAAUUGUGAGACAAUCCCACAUUCCUUAAGUUAGUUAAGAAACUCUACACUAAGAUACUCACCACCUCGAUCGGAUUGAAUCAUCUUAAUGUUCCUGCCCAAUUGAUUCUCUACUUCCUGCUUAAACUCUUUGAACUUUUCAAAGGUUUCUGACUUAUGCUUGAUUAAGUAGACAUAUCCAUAUCUACUAAUCACAAAGUAGCGGUUAGCAUCCCUAGUGGCGGUUCUGAAGGGUCCAAACACAUCCAUGUGUACCAGAUCAAACAAACCUUCAACCCUAGCACAAGAACCAGUGAAGGAUGAUUUUUUCAUUUUUCCAAGUAGACAAGAUUCACAACUAUCAUUCGACUUUAAAUCAGAUGACUCCAAGACUCCAUCCUUUUGGAGUUGGCCUAUGUGUUUCUUGCUUACAUGUCCAAGAUGACAAUGCCAUAAUGAUGCUUUAUCCAAGUUAGUGGAAGAAUCAAUACACAACACAUUAUUUCUUAGGUUAUCUACAACAGACACAACUGAUGGGUUUUAGCCAUAAGAACAUCCUAUGUGCUCAUGCAACCCUAAUUCUUAGAUCUGGGUUUCUCUAUUGUACAUGCUAUUCAUCCAAGACUUUAAAACCCUAGAUCUAAUCAAUAUAACAUAUGAAUUAGGGUUUAGAUCAUACCUUGAUUGUUAUGUAGUAAUAACAAUCUCAAUUCCUUCUUGUAUUGACUUUAGAAAGCUUAGAGUCACAAAUGUCACUCCUCUAAUGGCUCACAAACACCAAGAGCAAGAGGAUGAAGAAUAAGGAGGGAGGAAGUUGCCCCAAACGUGUGGAAACCCUAGAGAACAAGUUCCUUACGUUUUUGGGGCUUAAGGGUUCCUUAAAUAGUGAGGCUAUUAGGGUUAUCUAACAAGGAAACCCUAAUUUGGAUGCUUAGGCCCUAAGCAACCCAUGAACCCCUUUCUUAAAGGCCUUUGGACGAUUUCUAAUGGGUUUCCCCAUAUAAUUCGUCAACCCCUUUAAUAUGGAGUCCAUUAGCUCAAUAUUCAACUAUCACACAAUUGACAGUUUUAGUCCCUUAAGUUUAAUUAAUGUCUUUUAGCCACAAACUUAAUUCUUAUUAAUUCUUGACUAAUAUUAAUUAAACAAUAUGAUUUCUCCUUCAAUAUAUUAUUCUCAUAAUAUAUUAAUAAAUCAUAUUUAAUCCUUUCUCUCCAUAAUUCAUCCUAUCAAGUUGCUUUGGUGAAGGCAACCCAAAAGGACCAUGCACCAUCGGGUCAAGUACAUACCAAAAUAGUUAUGGACUUAGACACUAAUCCAACAGUCUCCCACUUGGAUAAGUCUAAUAACUAUUAUGCGUAUGACUUCAGAUCCUGAUCUGCAAUCGUAGCUUUCCAAAGCCGCUGUCAACUCUGAUCUUAUCAGAUACGCGUCCUUUAGAUAAGGGAUCAUAUAUUCCUCCAUUCUAGAUAUCGUAUAGACUGAGACAUGGAUUUAAAUCAUUCUCUCUGUCUAUGUGUUGUUUCCCGAUUUCCGAUUUAUGACGACUGACAACAGACUACAAUUGAACACAUCAAAUUAGUCCCGGCUUGGCCAAGCGCUUAGGUGUCAUCACUAAAUCAUCGAGGGGCCCACAGAUAUCGCUUUCAUCCUACUUUGGAUAAAAGGAACGGAUAAACUUUGAUUCAAUGCUUGCUUGCACUCACUCACCGAAUCACACACAACAAUAUGUUUUAUGACACCAAGUUACUGGUGCGUUUACAUAUUAUCAAUGUGUAACCGACUCGCAAGAUACAACUCACACAUCUCGGUUUCAAGAAUAUAAGAUAUUAUCGUCUCACCAAUCACUCGUGAUAAAAUCCAUGAAGUGAUCCAAGUGAGCGUGGGUUUAAUCCAAUGCUCAAAUCAUAUUCAUAAGCACUCAUGAACGUUGCAGCAAACAUUUGCUUAUGUCUAAUACACUUUAGACAAUCCACACACCAAUUCACGACAGUCUUCAUUCAUACCUACUUCCAACAUAUGAACGACUGUGGUCCGUUCGAAUAAUUUGAUUGUUCUGAACCAAUUUAAUUAUUCAGGAAGUCAAAACAUGCAAAGUGAAACACAAGAAUAAUACUAAUCCCAUAUGGCCCCAAACUCUGGGUAUAAAUAAAACAUUUUAUUUAAUCACCAUAUUGAUUACUCAUUAUUUGUUGUUUCGGGUAAUCAACUUCUUACUUGAAUUAUUACUACACUUGUCCCAUGCUCUUAGCAUGCACACAAUGUUUACCUACGGUCCUUACUUUGUGAAAUAGAUCAAAUGAACACAUUUCCAAUCAUACUCAUUUCACAACUCCCAAUCCUUAUCAUAAGUAUAAGAAUAUCAAAUUCUUGUUACUUAUGCUAGAUUCUAACAUUUUAUGCAAUGAUUCUUUCGUAAAGUCAUAGCUCAAAAUCAUCAAGACUUGGCCAAUCUCUAUCAGAAACAAUUCUAUAGAUAUGAUGUCUCUCACUCAAAGUACAUUCCUUUGAACAUCCUUCUUGCAUAAAAGUUUCUAAUCUAGAUAUAGAUUCUCAAUAUCCAACUCCCAAUAUGGAAACAUUUCCAUAUUUGCCAUAUGACAACUCAUUCUUAAUAGAAUCUUAUCUAUUCAUAAUAAUGUCGAUAUGGUCCAUCCAAUACCAUACUUCCAACUACUCACAAGCGACCAAUCCUCAGCGAACUUUGGAUCGUCCUUUGAUAGUUGUUUAAUUAUCUUAGUCAAAACCGAUUCUUGUCCUUUUUCCCUCUAAAUGCGCUAGACAUUUGGAAAAUUUUAGAAUGGUCAAAUAUUAUAGCAUUUGCAAUCGAUCCUAUACCCGAAGCGUAUGGGACACGAUGCAUAAUGUCUUACAUAAAGAUCUGAUACUUUAUCAAUCUUCUGCCAUAAUAUUUUAUGUGCCACGUUCUCACAAUUCGAACUAUGCCAUAAUCAUAAUCGAAAUUUGAGAACACACUAUGUAUCCUUGACUAAAUUUAUUAACAUUCCACAACCUAAGCCUUUAGAUUUGAAAUGAAGCAUAAUAUUCUCUCCCUUAAUUAUAGCAAAACAACUAUUCAACCCUUACGACUUUGCAAAGUAUAACUCUUGUUUUCUAUAAUUAAUAUUGCUAACUUGCAAUACUUGCCUUAAUAAUCAUACAAGCAUAACAUUUAUGCUCCCACUAUCAUGAUGAUUAUUAUCAUAUAAGCAUAACACUUAUGCUCCCACUAGCUUUGACAUGUAUUUAGAAAACAACUGAACUUCCAGAAAACAAUACCUAUUGAAUUUCUUAAGUUCAUAUUUCUAAUACCUAAUGCUUUGAUAAUCCUUUAUCUAAGCUUCUUAAACUUAUACACCUUUGCCUUAGAUAGCUCAUAUGUGUGUCUAAACAAUUCAGACUAAUUGCCAAAUCUCACAAUUCGAAUCAUGGAAAGGGAUACCGUAACCAUAAUCGAAUUCGAGAAUACAAUUUUCACAAUCACUAUCUUCUUAAAAUCUUUCUUAGUGAAAGCAUUUCCUCACAGUCAUUUUCAUGAAGGAGGGAAUCUUAUGACACUUAGAUUUUAAUGGUGUAUGUGUUCCUAUCCAUGUGAAUUUGUCAAAACCAAAGUUUGCGACAAAUCCAAACUCAUAUGGACCGAACUUUCUCAAUCUUGAUUUCUUGCCUUAUGGUAACACGGCUGCCCACCAUGUCUUCCAAGUAGUUAAGCAGCUCACCCUUUCCUAUCAAUGUACUUUUCAUUGAUCAAGGUCCUUGCCUUUUAUGCAUUCAAAUGAGAACUCAUAGGGCUCACAUGCAUAAUUAACUCAAUUGGAACGGCACAGAAACAAGGUAAUGUCAACACGAUAGGUUGUAAACCUCUACUCGUGUGCUAGUGAUGAUCGAUAAGGUUUAUUCUUGAUUUGUUCUUGAAACCUUUCAAGACCAUUAAGACUCCCACUGACUCCUUGACAUAUAAGAUUCUCUUGUCAAUAAACAUUUCUUGACAAACAAAUAUUCAAGAGUUAGUGUAGCCUUUAUCAAGACAAAACAUUUUAAAAAAUUGGUCCUAGUUGGUCUUUGUCUUAUCCAAGACAUCACAACUUACCAAUUUCAAAUGUGCAAGAAUAAGAAAACCUUUUUCCAAAUUCUACACUUGAUGAAUGUUAUAAACCUUCUUAAGACUUGUCACUCAAUGUCACAAUCUUAACUCUAAGACUUGUUUUGGAACGAAGUAUGAUUGACUUCUUGAUUUAACCAUUUCUUCAAUUCUUGAUUCCUCUUCUUAUACAUACAAUUGUACUAAGACUUACUUAGAGGAUCAAUUGAAAUAUGGUUCUUAAUCAUUAAGACAUAUCAUAAAGUAUAAAAGGUACUCUCCCUUCUUCUUAGAAUAGAGAAACUUUUAUCUUUCUGCCUACUUGAUUCUUCUUAUUCGUUCUGCUAUUGAUUUAAACCUUUUUCAAUCAAUUCAGAAUUACACUUAAUCUUAUAAGUAUAAUCAUAUUUACUAAUCCUUUAGUAAAUCAUGACGAAUAUCUUUGUUACUCUUGUGGUGGACUUGAUCAACACACAACUUUGUGUACUCGAUCUCCUAGUCCUUCACUUGACACUUUGUCAACGACUUAGUCUAAUUUCCAAAUAUGAAAUUUCUCAUUCAUCGUGCAACCAAGUUGCAUGAUUCCAAGUUUCUGUCCAAUUGAAACUUGGGCGAUGAGAAACUCUCCCUAUUUGGUAAAUUCUCGACAUUUCCACAAUUAUCAUAAUUAAGAAUAACAUCCAUUCGUUGUAGAAAUAUGCAAACAUCAAUUUUUCAUAAUGAUUUCAUUGCAAGGAAAUAAAAUAAAUAAAUAAAUAAAUACAUCAAACAAAAUUUAUUUUAUUCAUAAAAGCAGCAGAAAACAUAUGUCCUUACAAUGCAAAAUUUACUGAAAAACUAUGUAAUCAAAUAUUCCUAACAAUCCUAUCAUAACUUUCUAAGCUCAAAAUCUAAUCUUCAAGUCCAUGCGAUCGAGAUCCAUUUCUUUGUGAUUAGACUCAUUUUGCUUUUACUAUCAAGCUUCCUCUCUUUUCACUGAUUCUGCAAAACAUUCAAAUGUAAUCUGAGCACAUUAUGUAUUAAGAAUCAACGAAUAGGAACUUAAUGAAGUUAGAUAGUGGAUUUUACCUGAAGCACAUCCAUACUCUUUGACUCUCCCAUCUUCUGGACUCUUUAGGCUCUUAGGGCAGACUUGUAUCCAACGCCCUUUCUCUUGGCAGCAAACGCAGGUUGGUUCUCCUAGAACGUCCUCGGAAGCAUGGUUGGUUGACUUUCCCAACAAAUAUGCUCCAUUGCUUUGCCAAAUCAUUUCUGAUUCAGCAGCAAUGAGCAUGUAAGUUAGGUCAAUGAGGUUUUCGUCAUGAUCCAUCAUAUAAUACUUUCUUUUGAACUCAUUAUAUGAUUCAGGAAGUGACUGCAAAACCCAAUUCACAGCCAACUCAUCUGGGAAUGACACACCCAACAUUAUCAACCUAUCAAUGUGUGAUUUCAUUCCUAGAACGUGGGCACACACGGGUUUACCAUCUUCAUGUUUCAUUUCCAAUAGGGCUUUAGUGACAUUGAACCUUUCAAUUCUUCGAUCUUGUGGGUUAGGGAGAAUAAUUGGAGGAGGUGGAGGAAGUGAAGCAUGAUUUCUUGUUCCUCGAUCGAAUCGUGGAAUAUCAUCUUCAUGUGGAAUGCUUGUUCCACGGGAUUUGGGAAGACCAUAGUUGUCGUACUUUGACAUCUACAAAACGGGAGAAAACAAAUUCAAGUUAGUUGAUUGAUUGAGUCCUUAAUAAAUCACCCAAAUGAGAUAUUAAGGCUAGGACCCAAUAGAAUAUUCCACAACUCGGGAGAGGGAUGUCGUAACCCUAAUUGCAAAACAUUUGAAGGUAAGUGAAUGACGAUUCACUAAUUUUCCAACAUGAAAAAUGAAAAACAGAUUAAGUCUUAAAUGUAUUGAAAACUCCUAGAUUCUUUUAGAUUCAUUGAACCUUUUCAAUGGCAUGUUUAAAUCUCGAUAUACCCCUCUAGUUUGUGACUGGGAUGCCGAGGAUCACAAAGCGGGUGUGAAUAACCAUGCAAACUUACAUGGUGCCCUCACAUGUUACAGUCACCUAUUCGAUGUGCCGGUAAACCACACACGCUCCACCGAACUAUGACAAACAUUGAGUCACCCUUUGCUACCUUUGCUUAGAACCAUUUAGUGUGCCGGUAAACCACACACGCUCCACUAACGUCUUCGCAAGGGCACAAAGUGUAAUUUCAUGGAAUUGCAUCAAUUCACUUUUGCCUAAGUAACUAAGAUUGGGAAUUUGUAAAACAUUUAGUUACUUUUGUACUUCAUUAUACUUAUAAUGGAAGGUUUUGUCCUAUCCUACCCGUUCGGCUAACGACCCUCCACUAGUCAAGAGUGCGGUGGGUAAGAGUGGAUACCCAUUCAAUCGCCAUUUUAUAGGCAAUUUCCUUAAACACCCCUUAUAGACCAGCUUCGUGAAUGAGGCCUACUAACGGUAAGACUGACUUUUACUCAUACAUAUAUAUAAUGUUAGACUUUUAAUGUUAUAUAUAGUAUAGGGUGUAUUUUACACUUUUAAAAUACUAGGUGGUCAAAUUUAACAAUUAUACUUUUAAUUCAAUUAAAUUGUAAACCUAAACUUUUAUGGAUUUAUUAAACCUCUUUUAAUUAUACACCUUAAUUAAUUAAUAAAACCAUAAGGGUGUGAUUUGAACUUUUCAAAACAAUACUAGGGUUUUAGAAUUUAACAUUCCUAAAUUAAACUUUUAAUCAACUUUUAAAUUCCAAAACUUGAGGGCAAGUUUUGAAACAUUUCAAAACAUUAGGGUUUAGAAUUUAAAUAUUUCAAAAUCAAACUUUUCAAUCAAAAUUUAAAUUCCAAAACUUGAGGGCAAGUUUUGAAACCUUUUUCAAAACAUUAGGGUUUCAACUAUUUAAAUUUCAAAACAAAACUUUUGAGUUCUAAUUUAAACUAUAAAACCUAAAGGGAUUAAUUUGAAACUUUUCCAAACUUUGUCAAGAAUAUUCUAGAUCACAUAAUUCAAAUAAGGCAAUUAACUAUAAUUGGUGGUUAUCUAAUUAGAUCUAGUUCAAAUUCUUGCAAGAUAAUGAUCAAAUAAUUUCCAUAACUUAACAUUUAUCAAAUAAGGUAACAAUUAUCUAAUUAGAUGACCAAAAUCUUUUAUUUUGACAAGGAUAAUCAUAAGGAAUCAAUAAAAUUCGAAUUUUAUUGAUUUUAAACAAUUAUGGUAAUUAUCCUAAGUCAAAAUAGGAAAAAAAAAAUCCCGAAACAGCCUCCUUCUGACGCUCGAACUCGCCGAGUUCCUCUAUGGACUCACCGAGUCCACAUUGGAACUCGCUGAGUUCAUCAGACAGGGGGCCAAAAAUCGAUUAUUGAAGCUUGAACAAAUAACCAAGGCAACAAUACAAUAGAAACCAAUCAAGGCUCAAAUACCACUGAUGGGUUUUAGCAAUAAGAACAUCCUAUGUGCUCAUGCAACCCUAAUUCUUAGAUCUAGGUUUCUCUAUUGUACAUGCUAUUCAUCCAAGACUAUAAAACCCUAGAUCUAAUCAAUAUAACAUAUGAAUUAGGGUUUAGAUCAUACCUUGAUUGUUAUGUAGUAAUAACAAUCUCAAUUCCUUCUUGUAUUGACUUUAGAAAGCUUAGAGUCACAAAUGUCACUCCUCUAAUGGCUCACAAA
Molecule: long non-coding RNA, 41405 nt
Filed under: Lactuca sativa (garden lettuce)
Lineage: Eukaryota; Viridiplantae; Streptophyta; Magnoliopsida; Asterales; Asteraceae
Description: long non-coding RNA (LSAT_LNC008697)
Source: RNAcentral